GAGUUUGAUCAUGGCUCAGGACGAACGCUGGCGGCGUGCCUAAUACAUGCAAGUCGAGCGAGGGUUUUUAAGACCCUAGCGGCGGACGGGUGAGUAACACGUAGGCAACCUGCCUCUCAGACCGGGAUAACAUAGGGAAACUUAUGCUAAUACCGGAUAGGUUUUUGGAUUGCAUGAUCCGAAAAGAAAGGAUGGCUUUUCGCUAUCACUGGGAGAUGGGCCUGACGGCGCAUUAGCUAGUUGCGGGUAACGCUACCAAGGCGACGAUGCGUAGCCGACCUGAGAGGGUGACCGGCCACACUGGGACUGAGACACGGCCCA
This 321-nucleotide ribosomal RNA is filed under the name uncultured microorganism. RNAcentral describes it as "bacterial SSU rRNA". It matches the Rfam family "Bacterial small subunit ribosomal RNA", at positions 9 to 333 of the family's 1533-position model. The record is from RNAcentral.